UCAGGACGAACGCUGGCGGCGUGCCUAAUACAUGCAAGUCGAGCGGACAGAAGGGAGCUUGCUCCCGKAUGUUAGCGGCGGACGGGUGAGUAACACGUGGGUAACCUGCCUGUAAGACUGGGAUAACUCCGGGAAACCGGAGCUAAUACCGGAUAGUUCCUUGAACCGCAUGGUUCAAGGAUGAAAGACGGUUUCGGCUGUCACUUACAGAUGGACCCGCGGCGCAUUAGCUAGUUGGUGGGGUAAUGGCUCACCAAGGCGACGAUGCGUAGCCGACCUGAGAGGGUGAUCGGCCACACUGGGACUGAGACACGGCCCAGACUCCUACGGGAGGCAGCAGUAGGGAAUCUUCCGCAAUGGACGAAAGUCUGACGGAGCAACGCCGCGUGAGUGAUGAAGGUUUUCGGAUCGUAAAGCUCUGUUGUUAGGGAAGAACAAGUGCGAGAGUAACUGCUCGCACCUUGACGGUACCUAACCAGAAAGCCACGGCUAACUACGUGCCAGCAGCCGCGGUAAUACGUAGGUGGCAAGCGUUGUCCGGAAUUAUUGGGCGUAAAGGGCUCGCAGGCGGUUUCUUAAGUCUGAUGUGAAAGCCCCCGGCUCAACCGGGGAGGGUCAUUGGAAACUGGGAAACUUGAGUGCAGAAGAGGAGAGUGGAAUUCCACGUGUAGCGGUGAAAUGCGUAGAGAUGUGGAGGAACACCAGUGGCGAAGGCGACUCUCUGGUCUGUAACUGACGCUGAGGAGCGAAAGCGUGGGGAGCGAACAGGAUUAGAUACCCUGGUAGUCCACGCCGUAAACGAUGAGUGCUAAGUGUUAGGGGGUUUCCGCCCCUUAGUGCUGCAGCUAACGCAUAAGC
RNAcentral lists this ribosomal RNA (858 nucleotides) under Bacillus pumilus. Its description in RNAcentral is "bacterial SSU rRNA". The record is from RNAcentral. Lineage: Bacteria; Bacillati; Bacillota; Bacilli; Caryophanales; Bacillaceae.